CAUCGUGGUACAGGAAGCCUGCGGGAGUGUGAGGCAGAGCAUGAUGGUACAGGAAGCUUUUGUCUGUGUGAAGCAGAACAUCAUGAUAUGGGAAGUUUGUGUCUGGUGAGAUGGAUAAUCAUGAUAGAAAAGCUUCUUUCUGUAUGAGGGAGAGCAUCAUGAUACAGGAAGCUUCUGUCAGAGGGAGAGCAUCUUGGUACAGGAAGCUUGUGGUGGUAUGAAGCAGAGCAUCAUGGUACUGAAAACCAUGGCGGUGUAAGGCACAGUUUCCACCGUCUUCUAAAAUAGUGCCCACCAGUUGGUGACAACCUAGUCAGCGCAUGAGCCAGUGAGGACAUUUCACAUUUCAGCCCUAACAGUUUCUACCACAUUUAGUCACACUGGUCACACCAGAAUAGCCUUGAUUAUUCAUUGUGCCUAAGGGCAUGGGUUCUCAUUAGAGAGCCUAGAUUUAUUCGUUCCAAGCAACUCCCUUUUCUGUUCUCUCGCAAAGUCCCAAACUGAAAGGACUUUUCUGGCCAUUACACACCAGAACUCGGUCACACCUUUUACCUACUGGGGUCAGAGUUCUGAUGCUGAGACUAAAAAAUGCCAGGAAGCAACCUCCCCCCAUGUAUUUCUGAGUUACCCACAGUAGCCUCCACUGGGGACCUUGGGUUCUAGUGAUUUGCCACCUCUCUGGUGGGCAUCACUGUGCUGAUGCUGACUUUCCUGUUUGGCACGUUGAUAUGAUAGUAAGGAUGCCCAGUGCCCACAGGUAACAUGUAUGCCUGACAUUGCUCCGAAGGAUUACAGACAUUAACCCCUUUUGUCUGGAUGACAGUCUUGCAAGCUGGGAGCUAUGAUGAUCCCCAUUUUUCAGGCACAUCUAUCCUGUGUCAGGCGGUAACCGCAUUUGAAGGAAACACUAGAGCCUUGUCUCUAGGAUCACUGUCUCUCCUUCUCCUCAGGGACUGAGGCUGCAGAAUCACUGCUGUUAAAAUGGACUCUCUCCUUCCUGGCUAGACAGGAGAAGCCGGUUCUCUCAUCAGGAGCCGUCUCAGGAUGACUGCAGUUCACAGAUCCUCUGUGAGGACAGCGAUUGGUGACAAGAGCCAUCAGAGCAAGGGGCAGGCUGACAGGAGUGAGGGCAAAGUGGAGCCAGCCCAAAGGGGCUCAUUAGCUCAGCAUU
This 1171-nucleotide small RNA is filed under the name Rattus norvegicus (Norway rat). RNAcentral's name for it is "uncharacterized LOC102550603". The record is from RNAcentral. Lineage: Eukaryota; Metazoa; Chordata; Mammalia; Rodentia; Muridae.